Molecule: ribosomal RNA, 419 nt
Filed under: Clinotarsus alticola (Assam Hills frog)
Lineage: Eukaryota; Metazoa; Chordata; Amphibia; Anura; Ranidae
Description: partial large subunit ribosomal RNA
Rfam family: Bacterial large subunit ribosomal RNA
Source: RNAcentral
AUAAUCACUUGUUCUUUAAAUAGGGACUUGUAUCAACGGCAUCACGAGGGUUAUACUGUCUCCUUUUUCUAAUCAAUGAAACUGAUCUCCCCGUGAAGAAGCGGGGAUAAACUUAUAAGACGAGAAGACCCCAUGGAGCUUUAAACCAAUUAUAUACCUCAUCAACUUAAAUCAUGCUAGUCUCAGAAUAAUAUAUAAUAGUUUUAGAUUGGGGGGAUCACGGAGUAAAACUAAACCUCCUUGACAAACGGACCUUGCCCUUAUUUAAGAAGUACCCUUCUAAAAAUCAACAAAUUGAUGUUUAAUGACCCAAAUUUUUGAUCAACGAACCAAGUUACCCUGGGGAUAACAGCGCAAUCUACUUCAAGAGCUCAUAUCGACAAGUGGGUUUACGACCUCGAUGUUGGAUCAGGAUAUCC